RNAcentral lists this ribosomal RNA (833 nucleotides) under Candidatus Kuenenia sp. enrichment culture clone MBR-1. Its description in RNAcentral is "bacterial SSU rRNA". It matches the Rfam family "Bacterial small subunit ribosomal RNA", at positions 46 to 832 of the family's 1533-position model. The record is from RNAcentral. Lineage: Bacteria; Pseudomonadati; Planctomycetota; Candidatus Brocadiia; Candidatus Brocadiales; Candidatus Brocadiaceae.
GGAUUAGGCAUGCAAGUCGAACGAGGAAGUGCCCCGUAAGGGGCGCAAGCCUAGUGGCGAAAGGGUGAGUAAUGCAUUGAUAACCUGCCUUUGAGAUGGGAAUAACUGCGUUUCGAGCAAUCGGAACUACCGAAAGGGCUGCUAAUACCCAAUAAUACUAUAGGUGCAAAAGCACUUGUGGUCAAAUGCUAGGAAUUCUGUUCCUUGUGCUUAAAGAGGGGUUAAUGUCCUAUCAGCUAGUUGGUGGGGUAAUGGCCUACCAAGGCAAAGACGGGUAGCCGGCUUGAGGGGGUGGUCGGCCACACUGGGACUGAGACACUGCCCAGACUCCUACGGGAGGCUGCAGUCGAGAAUCUUUCGCAAUGCCCGAAAGGGUGACGAAGCGACGCCGCGUGUGGGAAGAAGGCCUUCGGGUUGUAAACCACUGUCGGGAGUUAGGAAAUGCAGGUGCGUUAAUAGCGCACUUGCUUGACUAAGGCUCCAGAGGAAGCCACGGCUAACUCUGUGCCAGCAGCCGCGGUAAUACAGAGGCGGCAAGCGUUGUUCGGAAUUAUUGGGCGUAAAGAGCACGUAGGCGGCCUUGCAAGUCAGUUGUGAAAGCCUUCCGCUUAACGGAAGAACGGCAUCUGAUACUACAGGGCUUGAGUACGGGAGGGGAGAGUGGAACUUCUGGUGGAGCGGUGAAAUGCGUAGAUAUCAGAAGGAACGCCGGCGGCGAAAGCGACUCUCUGGUCCGAAACUGACGCUGAGUGUGCGAAAGCUAGGGGAGCAAACGGGAUUAGAUACCCCGGUAGUCCUAGCCGUAAACGAUGGGCACUAAGUAGAGGGGUUUU